RNAcentral lists this ribosomal RNA (412 nucleotides) under uncultured bacterium. RNAcentral's name for it is "bacterial SSU rRNA". It matches the Rfam family "Bacterial small subunit ribosomal RNA", at positions 508 to 917 of the family's 1533-position model. The record is from RNAcentral.
UCAGCAAGCCGCGGUAAUACAUAGGGUGCAAGCGUUGUCCGGAAUUAUUGGGCGUAAAGAGCUCGUAGGUCGUUUGUUACGUCGGAUGUGAAAACCUGAGGCUCAACCUCAGGCCUGCAUUCGAUACGGGCAAACUAGAGUUUGGUAGGGGAGACUGGAAUUCCUGGUGUAGCGGUGGAAUGCGCAGAUAUCAGGAGGAACACCAAUGGCGAAGGCAGGUCUCUGGGCCAAUACUGACACUGAGGAGCGAAAGUCUGGGGAGCGAACAGGAUUAGAUACCCUGGUAGUCCAGACCGUAAACGGUGGGCACUAGUUGUGGGAACCUUCCACGGUUUCUGCGACGCAGCUAACGCAUUAAGUGCCCCGCCUGGGGAGUACGAUCGCAAGAUUAAAACUCAAAGGAAUUGACGGG